This 449-nucleotide ribosomal RNA is filed under the name uncultured bacterium. RNAcentral's name for it is "partial 16S ribosomal RNA". It matches the Rfam family "Bacterial small subunit ribosomal RNA", at positions 29 to 523 of the family's 1533-position model. The record is from RNAcentral.
AACGAACGCUGGCGGCAUGCCUAACACAUGCAAGUCGAACGAGAUCUUCGGGUCUAGUGGCGCACGGGUGCGUAACGCGUGGGAAUCUGCCCUUUGGUUCGGAAUAACCGUUGGAAACGACUGCUAAUACCGGAUGAUGACGAAAGCCCAAAGAUUUAUAGCCAGAGGAUGAGCCCGCGUAGGCUUAGCUAGUAGGUGUGGUAAAGGCGCAACAAGGCGACCAUCCUUAGCUGGUCUGAGAGGAGGAUCAGCCACACUGGGACUGAGACACGGCCCAGACUCCUACGGUAGGCAGCAGUAGGGAAUAUGGGACAAUGGGCGUAGGCCUGUUCCAGCAAUGCCGCGUGGGUGAGGAAAGCCUUAGGGUUGUAAAGCGCUUUUACCCGAGAUGAUAAUGACAGUACCGGGAGGAUAAGCUCCGGCUAGCUCCGUGCCAGCCGCCGCAGUAA